CUCACGCAGGAGAAACUCCGACACUCAUAACUGCUCCGUCACCUCAUUUCUGUCCAGUUUUUUAAAACUAGCAACACUAAAAGGAGAGCCAAAAGGUCUUCUCUCAGGUGCAGGAUAUAUGGUGACCAGUUAUCCUUUGGCAAACUGGCACACAACAGAUUGGGGGAUCCAUCUGUCCUUGUAAGAGGAGGGCAUCUCUCGCUCUCUCUCAGGAUAUGACACUGUGAGUCCCAGUUGGUUUUCAGUACGGACUGGAGAGCACCAGAGCGAGGGAGAACGCACGAGGGAUCCAUCUGAGAAACAUUGCAAACCUCAGGCCUGUUGUGUCUGGAGCUGUGAUGCUUUUAUUUCAUCUUGUCUCGACUGUUGUAACUCCCUCUUCACCUGCCUCAGCAAAACAUGGACUGGACUGCUUACAAGUAGUCCAAAAUAUUGCUGAUAAGCUAUUGACCAGGUGCCAUAUUCACAAAGCAUCCUAAGGCUAAAAGUAUAUUUAAAAAAAGUAGAAACUCCUUAAAAUAAUGAGCGUGUCAGUCCUAACUUUAGUCCUAAGUUUUUAUUGUGUGAGUAAUACACAAACAUUUUAAUGCUAAAAGUAGCUCCUAUAAGUCUGAGAGAAGUUAGAGGUUAGAGGCCUUUGGACUCCCAAGUCAGUAAAACCCUCUCAUAAUCAGUCAGCUGCUGCAGGCAAUGAUCCUCAUUGUGGUUUUUUGGAAAAAUACAACAACAAAAUUUUUUUAAAGCACAUUUAGAUAGUGGUCAAGCUAAUGAGGACCCAAUUAUCUCACCAACAAAUUGAAACAGUCCAAUCCAAUUACAUCUAUCUCUUUCUUUCCUUCUCUCACAUUGACAGAUACAGAUCGGUCACUUGCCAACUAGUCACUGUGGACUUUAGUGAUUAAGUUCUUUCAUGAAACAUGUCAUUCAUAGCAACGUGGUCAAACCCACAACUUCUCUUAGCUUAGGAGUUUUCUCAGUUCCUUACUGAAAGUUGCUCUCGGCAUCUUUGUCAAAAUGUCGUCAGAGGAAAAACUUGGUUAGGAACUUUUAGCACCAUGUAGGAGGACUCAUAUAACGUUAAGAUAAAAUCCUUUGUGAAUGUAGCCCCAGGUUCUCCAAAAAGGUCUCAUUUGACACCAAUCUUGAUUUUUUUUUUUUUUACACUUUCUUAUCAAAUUCUUGUAAUCACUUGUAGAUUUGUUGGUUGUUCUUCACUCCAGGCUUAAAACUGAAGGAGACUGUGCUUCUGACAUUUGGACUUAAGAUCUGUGGACAACCUUAAACAGAAGCUCAAGACCCUCUUGUCUAGACUUGCACUAAGACUUUCUUUCUAUUUCUUUUGUUUUUACUCUUGUUUAGUCUUCAUUUUAUGUCCCUUGCUGUAUUUUUUUUCUUAUUGUGAGGCACUUCUUCUCAAGAAAGGUGUUGUCUAA
Long non-coding RNA from Thunnus maccoyii (southern bluefin tuna), 1433 nucleotides. RefSeq lists it as uncharacterized. The transcript is spliced from 4 exons. The record is from RefSeq and is a predicted model, not a curated record. Lineage: Eukaryota; Metazoa; Chordata; Actinopteri; Scombriformes; Scombridae.